GCUCGGUUGGUCUAGUGGUAUGAUUCUCGCUUAGGGUCACACCCUGAGAUCAAGUUGCGAGAGGUCCCCGGUUCAAACCCGGGAUCGAGCC
This 91-nucleotide transfer RNA is filed under the name Ascodesmis nigricans. RNAcentral's name for it is "tRNA-Pro". The record is from RNAcentral. Lineage: Eukaryota; Fungi; Ascomycota; Pezizomycetes; Pezizales; Ascodesmidaceae.